GUGGGGAAUAUUGGACAAUGGGCGAAAGCCUGAUCCAGCCAUGCCGCGUGUGUGAAGAAGGUCUUCGGAUUGUAAAGCACUUUAAGUUGGGAGGAAGGGCAGUAAGUUAAUACCUUGCUGUUUUGACGUUACCGACAGAAUAAGCACCGGCUAACUUCGUGCCAGCAGCCGCGGUAAUACGAAGGGUGCAAGCGUUAAUCGGAAUUACUGGGCGUAAAGCGCGCGUAGGUGGUUCAGCAAGUUGGAGGUGAAAUCCCCGGGCUCAACCUGGGAACUGCCUCCAAAACUACUGAGCUAGAGUAAGGUAGAGGGUAGUGGAAUUUCCUGUGUAGCGGUGAAAUGCGUAGAUAUAGGAAGGAACACCAGUGGCGAAGGCGACUACCUGGACUGAUACUGACACUGAGGUGCGAAAGCGUGGGGAGCAAACAGGAUUAGAAACCCGUGUAGUCC
This 450-nucleotide ribosomal RNA is filed under the name uncultured bacterium. Its description in RNAcentral is "partial 16S ribosomal RNA". It matches the Rfam family "Bacterial small subunit ribosomal RNA", at positions 354 to 796 of the family's 1533-position model. The record is from RNAcentral.